Molecule: microRNA precursor, 110 nt
Filed under: Colobus angolensis palliatus
Lineage: Eukaryota; Metazoa; Chordata; Mammalia; Primates; Cercopithecidae
Description: miRNA (ENSCANG00000019110.1)
Source: RNAcentral
CCUAGGAAAGGCUGCUGGUAACUGGGAUGGUGGUUGGGGGUAGGUCAAGAAGUCUCUCACUCCUCCUCUACCUCAUUCCAGUUCCAUCACCUGAAGUGGACCUGUUGGGA